UCGAGGAUCUUCGGCAAUGGGCGCAAGCCUGACCGAGCGACGCCGCGUGCGGGAUGAAGGCCUUCGGGUUGUAAACCGCCGUCGGAGGGGAGGAAAUGCCGGGAAGUAAUAAAUAAUCGACCCGGUUUGACCUAUCCUCAGAGGAAGUACGGGCUAAGUUCGUGCCAGCAGCCGCGGUAAGACGAACCGUACACACGUUAUUCGGAAUCAUUGGACUUACAGGGUGCGUAGGCGGCUUUGCAAGUCGGGUGUGAAAGCCCUCGGCUCAACCGAGGAAGUGCGCCCGAAACUGUGAAGCUUGAGGGACACAGAGGUAAGCGGAACUUAGGGUGGAGCGGUGAAAUGCGUUGAUAUCCGAAGGAACACCAGGAGCGAAAGCGGCUUACUGGGUGUCUUCUGACGCUGAGGCACGAAAGCCAGGGGAGCGAACG
RNAcentral lists this ribosomal RNA (431 nucleotides) under uncultured prokaryote. RNAcentral describes it as "bacterial SSU rRNA". It matches the Rfam family "Bacterial small subunit ribosomal RNA", at positions 355 to 774 of the family's 1533-position model. The record is from RNAcentral.